This 809-nucleotide ribosomal RNA is filed under the name Rhodococcus sp. (in: high G+C Gram-positive bacteria). RNAcentral describes it as "bacterial SSU rRNA". It matches the Rfam family "Bacterial small subunit ribosomal RNA", at positions 37 to 859 of the family's 1533-position model. Lineage: Bacteria; Bacillati; Actinomycetota; Actinomycetes; Mycobacteriales; Nocardiaceae. The record is from RNAcentral.
UGGCGGCGUGCUUAACACAUGCAAGUCGAGCGGUAAGGCCCCUUCGGGGGUACACGAGCGGCGAACGGGUGAGUAACACGUGGGUGAUCUGCCCUGCACUUCGGGAUAAGCCUGGGAAACUGGGUCUAAUACCGGAUAUGACCGGAGGCUGCAUGGCUUCUGGUGGAAAGGUUUACUGGUGCAGGAUGGGCCCGCGGCCUAUCAGCUUGUUGGUGGGGUAAUGGCCUACCAAGGCGACGACGGGUAGCCGACCUGAGAGGGUGACCGGCCACACUGGGACUGAGACACGGCCCAGACUCCUACGGGAGGCAGCAGUGGGGAAUAUUGCACAAUGGGCGAAAGCCUGAUGCAGCGACGCCGCGUGAGGGAUGACGGCCUUCGGGUUGUAAACCUCUUUCAGCAGGGACGAAGCGCAAGUGACGGUACCUGCAGAAGAAGCACCGGCCAACUACGUGCCAGCAGCCGCGGUAAUACGUAGGGUGCGAGCGUUGUCCGGAAUUACUGGGCGUAAAGAGCUCGUAGGCGGUUUGUCGCGUCGUCUGUGAAAACCAGGGGCUCAACCCCUGGCUUGCAGGCGAUACGGGCAGACUUGAGUACUGCAGGGGAGACUGGAAUUCCUGGUGUAGCGGUGAAAUGCGCAGAUAUCAGGAGGAACACCGGUGGCGAAGGCGGGUCUCUGGGCAGUAACUGACGCUGAGGAGCGAAAGCGUGGGUAGCGAACAGGAUUAGAUACCCUGGUAGUCCACGCCGUAAACGGUGGGCGCUAGGUGUGGGUUUCCUUCCACGGGAUCCGUGCCGUAGCUAACGCA